CCAAAGCUAGUAGACCGCAUCAAAACGAAACGCACACAACCGGCCAUGGAGACACGGCACCACGGCACAUGGCGCUGUAUGAUAAUCCUGAGACGUAACCCGCCGGUGGGCACGGGAGGUCAGCCGCAGGGGAAGUCCAGGCAACCCAGACCACAGCACAGGACCAGAUAGCCCGGCAGCCCGCCAAAGGGAGCUCGAGGUCUUGGCUGCUGCACAUGAGGGCCGCACAUGAGGGCCUUAUGAACCACCGGCGAACCCGGGUUUUCUUACGGUGAUACAGGAGCUGAGCAGUAGCAUGCGCCAUGCAGCAUGCCUCGUGCAUGCAAAGAAAGAACAACAUCGCACUACAGAGGAGGUACUAAACGUACCACCACCGAGCAGGAGCGAGACCACCUUCAGCUGCCUCCAUUACGCAUGAGCAGAGAGCAUCAUACAAACCCUUUGGUCCUGUCCAUGCAAUUUCCUGUAAAGCAGGCACACGUCUAAGCCAGACGAGCGCGCAUCCGUAUGAAAAGACGGAGAACGGAGAAGCGAAUUCGCACCGGGAGGUCCAGAGCAGUGGCGGCUGCAGACCGGCACCUUUCGAAAGAUUGCGUUGUGAGCUUGAUUUGACCCCUUACUCUCCCUUGCUCUCCCUUGCUCUCACCGCCGCGCCCUUGCCACGUCCGCUGAACCUCCCACGAAGACGACGAACGCCGGCGUAGCAAAGCAACGGCAAGCACGACUCCGUUUCCGGUUCCGUGUUUUGGACUCCUCAUUCUUCAUUCCCAUGCGGCUACUAAACUAUGCAAACCUCCCGGCCCCGACCGCGAUGCGGUUUCCACUACGUGAGGCCAUGG
This 839-nucleotide long non-coding RNA is filed under the name Volvox carteri. RNAcentral describes it as "long non-coding RNA (VCAR_LNC002426)". Lineage: Eukaryota; Viridiplantae; Chlorophyta; Chlorophyceae; Chlamydomonadales; Volvocaceae. The record is from RNAcentral.